GACAGAGGUCCCGAGCGUUAGGCGGAAUCACUGGGCUUAAAGCGUGUGUAGGCGGAUCGUUAAGUGCCUUGUGAAAUCCCAUGGCUUAACCAUGGAACUGCUUGGCAUACUGGCGAUCUUGAGCCACUUAGGGGCAACCGGAACAAAUGGUGGAGCGGUGAAAUGCGUAGAUAUCUGGAGGAACACCGGUGGCGAAGGCGGCAUCCUGGACCAACACUGACACUGAGGAGCGAAAGCCAGGGGAGCAAACAGG
Molecule: ribosomal RNA, 253 nt
Filed under: uncultured bacterium
Lineage: Bacteria
Description: partial 16S ribosomal RNA
Rfam family: Bacterial small subunit ribosomal RNA
Source: RNAcentral